ACUCCUACGGGAGGCAGCGGUAGGGAAUAUUGGGCAAUGGGCGAAAGCCUGACCCAGCGACGCCGCGUGAGGGAUGAAGGUCUUCGGAUUGUAAACCUCUUUCAGUAGGGAAGAAGCGAAAGUGACGGUACCUAAAGAAGAAGCACCGGCUAACUAUGUGCCAGCAGCCGCGGUAAUAC
RNAcentral lists this ribosomal RNA (179 nucleotides) under uncultured bacterium. RNAcentral describes it as "partial 16S ribosomal RNA". It matches the Rfam family "Bacterial small subunit ribosomal RNA", at positions 335 to 526 of the family's 1533-position model. The record is from RNAcentral.